This 468-nucleotide ribosomal RNA is filed under the name uncultured bacterium. RNAcentral's name for it is "partial 16S ribosomal RNA". It matches the Rfam family "Bacterial small subunit ribosomal RNA", at positions 28 to 507 of the family's 1533-position model. The record is from RNAcentral.
GACGAACGCUGGCGGCGUGCUUAACACAUGCAAGUCGAACGGAAAGGCCCUGCUUUUGUGGGGUGCUCGAGUGGCGAACGGGUGAGUAACACGUGUGUAACCUGCCCUUGACUUUGGGAUAACUUCAGGAAACUGGGGCUAAUACCGGAUAGGAGCUCCUGCUGCAUGGUGGGGGUUGGAAAGUUUCGGCGGUUGGGGAUGGACUCGCGGCUUAUCAGCUUGUUGGUGGGGUAGUGGCUUACCAAGGCUUUGACGGGUAGCCGGCCUGGGAGGGUUACCGGCCACAUUGGGACUGAGAUACGGCCCAGACUCCUACGGGAGGCAGCAGUGGGGAGUAUUGCACAAUGGGCGGAAGCCUGAUGCAGCAACGCCGCGUGCGGAAUGACGGCCUUCGGGUUGUAAACCGCUUUCGCCUGUGACGAAGCGUGAGUGACGGUAAUGGGUAAAGAAGCACCGGCUAACUACGUG